AAACCGUUACCAUUACUGAGUUUAGUAAUGGUAACGGUUCUCUUGCUGUACCCAGAAAACGUG
Molecule: microRNA precursor, 63 nt
Filed under: Dasypus novemcinctus (nine-banded armadillo)
Lineage: Eukaryota; Metazoa; Chordata; Mammalia; Cingulata; Dasypodidae
Description: microRNA dno-mir-451 precursor
Gene: dno-mir-451
Rfam family: mir-451 microRNA precursor family (bases 1-56)
Source: miRBase by way of RNAcentral